RNAcentral lists this ribosomal RNA (301 nucleotides) under uncultured bacterium. RNAcentral describes it as "partial 16S ribosomal RNA". It matches the Rfam family "Bacterial small subunit ribosomal RNA", at positions 509 to 807 of the family's 1533-position model. The record is from RNAcentral.
CAGCAGCCACGGGAACACGAACCGUGCGAACGUUAUUCGGAAUUACUGGGCUUAAAGCGCGUGUAGGCGGGCCGCCACGUCGGUUGCUGAAAUCCCCCGGCUCAACCGGGGAAGUGGCAUCGAUGCGAGCGGCCUUGAGGGGGGUAGGGGGAUCUGGAACUUCCGGUGGAGCGGUGAAAUGCGUUGAGAUCGGAAGGAACGCCCGUGGCGAAAGCGAGGUCCUGGACCCUUUCUGACGCUGAGACGCGAAAGCCAGGGGAGCGAACGGGAUUAGAUACCCCAGUAGUCCCUGUCUCUUAUA